This 373-nucleotide long non-coding RNA is filed under the name Nicotiana benthamiana. RNAcentral's name for it is "long non-coding RNA (NBEN_LNC008204)". The record is from RNAcentral. Lineage: Eukaryota; Viridiplantae; Streptophyta; Magnoliopsida; Solanales; Solanaceae.
UUUGCGAGGGGAAGAUUGCUCCAGCUGACUUUCAGCUGACGAAUUGUAGUUCGAUUCUGCUCCUGCUCCUUCCAUUGCCAUUUUCGGAGAGUAUAAUCACUGUGUGUGUGUGUGUGUUUUAAAGAAGAAUGUGAGAAGGUAGAGAUUUAUUAGAAGAAGAGGAAAUGGAAAGAAAGUGGAAGCAUGUGCUCUGUGUGUGUGUGUGUGUGUGUGUGUUUUUAAGACGAAUGUGAAGAAGGUAGAGAUUUAUUAGAAGAAGAGGAAACGGAAAGAGAGUGGAAGCAUGUGUUGAAGAAGGGGAGUGAGAGGUGCUUUGCCGGGAUGAACAAGACUUUUCUGGUGUUUUAUUUUAGACCUUGAAAACCGCCUCUUU